RNAcentral lists this microRNA precursor (138 nucleotides) under Gossypium hirsutum (cotton). RNAcentral's name for it is "MIR7502 microRNA precursor family". It matches the Rfam family "MIR7502 microRNA precursor family". Lineage: Eukaryota; Viridiplantae; Streptophyta; Magnoliopsida; Malvales; Malvaceae. The record is from Rfam by way of RNAcentral.
UAUUAAAAAUUUCAUCCAUUUGCAAUGUAAAAAAUUGGUGUGGUUGACGAAAUAACUAGAUAUUGACAUACCAUGUGUACAUCAUACUGACGUACAAUAACCAAUUUGUAAUAGUAUAAAUGGAUGAUUUUUUUAACA